RNAcentral lists this ribosomal RNA (253 nucleotides) under uncultured bacterium. RNAcentral's name for it is "partial 16S ribosomal RNA". It matches the Rfam family "Bacterial small subunit ribosomal RNA", at positions 524 to 776 of the family's 1533-position model. The record is from RNAcentral.
UACGAAGGGUGCAAGCGUUAAUCGGAAUUACUGGGCGUAAAGCGCGCGUAGGUGGUUCAGUAAGUUGGAAGUGAAAUCCCCGGGCUCAACCUGGGAACUGCUUUCAAAACUGCUGAGCUAGAGUACGGUAGAGGGUAGUGGAAUUUCCUGUGUAGCGGUGAAAUGCGUAGAGAUUUGGAGGAAUACCAGUGGCGAAGGCGACCACCUGGACUGAUACUGACACUGAGGUGCGAAAGCGUGGGGAGCAAACAGG